AUUGAACGCUGGCGGCAGGCCUAACACAUGCAAGUCGAACGAGUGGCGGACGGGUGAGUAAUGUCUGGGAAACUGCCUGAUGUAGGGGGAUAACUACUGGAAACGGUAGCUAAUACCGCAUACCAUCAGAUGUGCCCAGGUGGGAUUAGCUUGUUGGUGGGGUAACGGCUCACCAAGGCGACGAUCCCUAGCUGGCCUGAGAGGAUGACCAGCCACACUGGAACUGAGACACGGCCCAGACUCCUACGGGAGGCAGCAGUGGGGAAUAUUGCGCAAUGGGCGAAAGCCUGAUGGAGCCAUGCCGCGUGUAUGAAGAAGGCCUUCGGGUUGUAAAGUACUUUCAGCAGGGAGGCGGUACCCGCCGAAGAAGCACCGGCUAACUCCGUGCCAGCAGCCGCGGUAAUUC
This 406-nucleotide ribosomal RNA is filed under the name uncultured bacterium. RNAcentral describes it as "partial 16S ribosomal RNA". It matches the Rfam family "Bacterial small subunit ribosomal RNA", at positions 30 to 526 of the family's 1533-position model. The record is from RNAcentral.